This is a small nuclear RNA of Euleptes europaea (tarantolino), 114 nucleotides long. RefSeq annotates it as U5 spliceosomal RNA. The record is from RefSeq and is a predicted model, not a curated record. Lineage: Eukaryota; Metazoa; Chordata; Lepidosauria; Squamata; Sphaerodactylidae. The transcript has a single exon.
UUACUCUGGUUUCUCUUCAGAUCAUAUAAAUCUUUUGCCUUUUACUAAAGAGUUCUGUGGAGAGGAACAUUUACGAGUGUUUUGUGAAUUUUUUGAGGCUCUACUUGGGAGCCA